RNAcentral lists this long non-coding RNA (2530 nucleotides) under Zostera marina. RNAcentral's name for it is "long non-coding RNA (ZMAR_LNC000277)". The record is from RNAcentral. Lineage: Eukaryota; Viridiplantae; Streptophyta; Magnoliopsida; Alismatales; Zosteraceae.
AGAGGUUGUUGAAUGACAAUAGUGCUUGUGGAUUAUAUCAUUUACAAUCUGGAUUAAGAAAUGGAUCAACAGCAAUGACUUCUGGUUGAGUAGCAACUUGUAGCACUAUUAAAAAAAAUAAAAGUAGUAUUUGACAUGAUAGAUUGUGUCAUUCCAGAGAUAGUAUGAUAUCUAAUCUAGCAAAAACUUGUAAUUUUGUAAUAAAUAAGGAUGAUGUAUAUCAAUGUAAUGUCAAUAAAAUACAUAAAAUACAAUUUAAAAGAAGAUAAUUCUUUUGUGAUUCUCACCCCUCUAUAUUCUACAUAUAGAUGUUUGGAGACCAACCCCAGUAACGUUUAUAGAUGAAUUUAAAUAUUAUUUUAUCAUAGUUGAUGAAUUCAGUAUCCACAUAGCUAGCUAGGUUUAUGUGGAUUUAUCUUCUAAAAUAUAAAAGUAAAGUUUUUAAUCAUUUUCUGAAAAUUUAUCAAAUAAAAGAAUUAAAAUAAUUCAAUUCGAUUGUGGAGGUGAAUUAAUUUAAAAAUAAAAAAUUCUUUCUUGUUGACGAUGCGAUCUCAACGAGAUUCGUGUCACCACCAACAUUCUUAGAAACUCAUUGGCUGUUUAUACUGGGAAAAUUUUCUCAUAAUAUUAUCAAAAAAAUUCAGAAAUAUGACUGUCAGAUCAAGGUAGAAAUUCUUCAGCUUAUAAUUGUCUUUCAUUGAUUCCUACUUCUUUAUUCAGCAAGCAAUUCUGGUUUCUAAUAAUCUGUAAACAAAACAGACAAAGCAAAGCAAAGUAAAGUAAAGCAAAACAAAAUAAAAUUAGUUUAUUAAUAAAAUAGCUAAUAUCUUACCUUUAUAGAUUGAAAUUCAUUCUGAGUUUCCUGCACAGAUUUAAAAAUAUAUCAUAAGUCACAACUUUUGUAAAAAUAUAUGCUAUUUGUUAAGCAAACAUAUACAUUAUAAUUUCAGAUGACCAUUAGUGAUAAGAUCUCAGGUAAAAUAUAUAUCAGUUUCUAUGUGUUUUGACUUUUGUUUGAUUACUGAGUUUGAUGCCAUAAAAAUGGCUGAAUUAUUGUCAGAUAAAAUUUGAGGAAUAUGAUCUUUAAUUAUUCCAAGAUCAUUACAAAUAAAAUCAGUUCACCUUAGUUCAGUCGCUAAUGAAACUAGAACUCUAUACUCUGCUUCCACACUGGAUCUAGAAACAGUUGUUUGUUUCUUCGAAGUCCAGGUAAUUAGAUCACCUUCAAUAAAAAUACAAAGACCUGUGGUUGAUUUCCUAUUAUCUAUGUCCCCUGCAAAAUCAGAAUCUGAAUAUCCUACUAUCAUAUGCAAUUUUUGUAUAUUUUAAAAAAAAUGUAAUCCAUGAUUUAAAGUGCCUUUAAUGUAUCUUAAUAUUCUUUUGACUGCAACUAAAUGUGUUGUUUUAGGUUCUUGAACAGAUUGAGAAACUUGAUUAAUUGCACAUGUCAAAUCAGGUCUUGUAUGUGUAAUAUAUUGUAAAGACUAAGGAUGAGAACAGGACGGUUCGCGGGCGGGCAUCUCCGCCCCGGUCUCAAAAAACGGGGUGCGUACCGGGGCAGCUGGUCAGGUACUCUGAUCCCUUGCCCCGAGACCCGUCCCUAAUUACCUACAAAAUAAAAAAAUUUAUAAAAUACUUUAUAAUUCUAUAUAAACCUAAAAAAUGAAGUAAUGAAUAAUUAAAAUUUAUAAGUUAUAAGAAAAAAAUUAACAACAAUUAUAAAAUCUGUAUUGCAAGUAAUGCGAUACAGAUGCUCCCUAGAUCCUCUCGAGGAUAAAGAAAAAUAGCCAACAUAAUGCAAAAAGCUCAGGCCAACGGCCCCGUCAAAUGGAUGCUGAAAAUGUCUGCCAGCCAACCAAAAAGGGAUACUUGAUUUGUAUAUAAUAAACCCCAGAAUUUGUAUCAAAAAAAUAGUAAGCAUUAUCCCAGAUCGAAUUCCAAUUGGGAUAUACAAACUACCAUGAUCUCUUUGUUUAACUCCAGAAAGGGCUAAAGAUAAGAAUAAGAAAUCUGGUAGGAACUUUCUUAUAUUUUAUUAUAUAUAAAAAGAAUUUAAAAAAUUAAGAAAUGCGACCGAAUCUCCGAUUUGGGCAGACCUGCGAAAUCGCGCUCAAGACUUGUGAAAUCAGAAAUCACAGAGGUCAGAAACGUAUGCAGAAUCACGACAAGAAUGCAGAAAUCCAAAUCAAGAAUCGACACCAAGAAGUCAUAGUCGAUGCCAAGAAAUCAACGCCGAAAUCGCCUCCGGAAAAUCAGAAUCGAUGACAAGAAGAUCGCAAAUCGCGUAUGUGAAAAAAAAAUUACCCAAAGUAAUUUGACGCAAAAAAGUAAAACUUGUCAGAGAAUAGAUACUGAAAAAAGAGCGGAAGGAAAUAAUUUAUUUUUUUCAACAAUAAUCAAAUCAGUUUGGGAAAAAGGCAAACGUGAUUUGGAGGAGAAAAAAAUUUAUUGAGGAGUAAAUUGCAAAUGAUACCAUGUCAGAUAAGGUAGAUUAACAAAAAAAAUACUGAAAUUAUAUUAACCUCAAAAG